UACGUAGGGGGCUAGCGUUGUCCGGAAUCAUUGGGCGUAAAGAGCGCGUAGGCGGCCAGAUAAGUCCGGUGUGAAAGUCACAGGCUCAACCUGUGAAUGCCGCUGGAAACUGUCUGGCUAGAGUCCGGGAGGGGCGAGUGGAAUUCCUGGUGUAGCGGUGAAAUGCGCAGAUAUCAGGAGGAACACCAAUGGCGAAGGCAGCUCGCUGGGACGGUACUGACGCUGAGGCGCGAAAGCGUGGGGAGCGAACAGG
RNAcentral lists this ribosomal RNA (253 nucleotides) under uncultured bacterium. Its description in RNAcentral is "partial 16S ribosomal RNA". It matches the Rfam family "Bacterial small subunit ribosomal RNA", at positions 524 to 776 of the family's 1533-position model. The record is from RNAcentral.